Molecule: long non-coding RNA, 5857 nt
Filed under: Coffea arabica (coffee)
Lineage: Eukaryota; Viridiplantae; Streptophyta; Magnoliopsida; Gentianales; Rubiaceae
Description: long non-coding RNA (CARA_LNC001662)
Source: RNAcentral
ACACACACAAAAAAGGCUCUACUGUUGGCUACAAAAAUCUCCUCUCUCGGCUCUCUCCCACAGGACAGAAGACAAGCCAUAACAAGAAAAAAAAAAGAAAAACUCCUCUCUCCAUUCGGCUCCCUCUCUUUUCCUAAUAUACACACACAGAAUCAAGCACAAGAAAGCAAGCAAUCGGACGCGAGGAGAUUGGAAUUUCAUCAACAAUUUUAACUAAGGUCAUAAGAGGUAUCAACACUUCCAUUGAACUAUUUCCCGUUUUUUUUUCUUUAUCGUGUUGAAUUCAUGUAUUAUUGGUUGUUCCUGCUGUUUUCUUGUUGUUGCUGCUGGUGUUGUUGAAAUUUUGGGGUAAAGCCAUGAAUAAACAUUAAGGAAAAGAUGAUUUCUGUGAAUGCAUGUUAAUUGUUUGAAAAAAUGCCAAAAAGAAUUUUAGGGACUGUUUUGCCUUAAUUCAGCCUUUUUAUGUUGUUUUCUUGUUCAACUUAGAUUAUAGUUGUAAUGUAGAAGUUAUAAGGAGGGUUUUGGCAUAAUUUUUAAGAUUUUUGGUGAAGAUUAUAGUGUUUUAAAAAAUAAAAAACUGGACUGGCUUUUUGCUUUUCGGCCACCUUCGGGUCAUCUUUUGUAAAAAUUAACUCCGGAAAUGGAACCUACGCGAAAAAUGGAGUGGAGAGGUGUAUUUUGAGAAAUUUUGGCCACUGGAAAAGUCGCCGGUGACCGGCGGUCCGGUGGCGCCGCCACCAUGGCUACCAGCUGAAGCUUCUUCGGUUGGCCGAAGAAGAAGGAAAGGAAACGUAUGGGGAAGAAAAGAGAAAGAAAAGAAAGAAAGAAAAAAGGGGUUUGGGCUAAUGUUUUAUUUCGGUUGGGCCAAGAGUUAGUUUUGGUUGGGUUAUGAAAAUGGGUUUUGGUUUAUUUUCUUUUGGGUUUCUGUUGGGCUAAGAGUUUUGAGUCCAUAUAUUUUGGUUGGGUUUGAGUGAUAAAAGACGGGCUGGCCUGUGUGUUUUAGCUUGGGUUUUCAGUUGGGCUUAGGUAGGUUUGGCCCAAGUAAAAUAAAAAGGGAGGCCCGAUGCCCUCUUCUUGCCCAAAUCAGAAACGAACUUGCACUUCAGUCCCUGUACUUUCAAGUACUUUCACUGCGGCCCAGAACAUUUUAAAUUCCUUUCAACUCGGUCCUUAAAUUAAUUUCACUUUGGUCCCUGAAUUUUAUCUUUCAUUUAAUUUGGACCCCUGAACUUUGGAAAAUAUAAUUUUUGUCCCCCAAAAGUUUUCAAUUUUUGUAAUUCAGUCCUUGACAAAUUUUGGCUCUCUUUAUUAUGAUUGUUUCUUUUCUUCAAUAACUAAUUAUGUUACUUUUGAACAUAUUCAACUUGUAAUUUUUAGAUAUUUUAAAUUUCUUUAUGUUUGACAUAUUAGCGUGAGCUUAGUACUUUUAUUAUUAUUGUUUUUUUUAAAAUUAAAUUGGUGCCAUGAUUCUUUUGUUCAUUGUGAGUAUAAAUAGGACAAUUUGACUCCAUUUAGUCACCACUUCAAAAGGGAGGUACCUCAUUAUUAUUAUUUCAAUGUUAAUUACGUGCUCUUAUGUGCUCUUACGUGCUCCUAUAUGUUUAUAUAUUUUUAUAUGCUUUGUUUAUUUGAUUUGAAUGAUCAUUUAAAUUUUCUUAUACUUUUUUAGUUAAUUUUAUAAUUAUUUGAGAGGCAUUUAAAUACCUCAAAAAUGUAAUAGAUAGGAUAAUUAGAUUUGUUUUAUUUUAUUUCCCCUUUUAGAUUGUAGUUAGGCGCUCCCCGAUGUAAUAGAUAGGUUGUGUGCUUAUGUGGCUUAUGUGUUACGUGCCUUACUUGCUUUCCUUAGGAUUUUUGCAUCUAGAUAUUAUGCUUAUGUGUUACGUGCUACGUGCUCUUAUGUGUUUAUUUGUUUUAAUUUAUGUCUACUUGUCUUAUUAUGUAUUAAAAAUGCAUGACGUCACCACACUAGUCCAACGCUAGUUGUGGUUUCUCCCUCCGUUUACUUGCUAGUCCAACGCUAGUAAGGAUUUUUAGAAAUGGGUUAGUCCAACGCUAGACCCUUAGAUCGUUCGUGCGUUAGAUUCAUUUUUGUGUGAUAUUCAUUACAUUUUCACGCAUAUUUUCAUUUUUACGAUCUUUUCCCAUUUGCAUGAUAUUUCCUAUUAUAUUAUCCCCUAUCCUCUAUAUGUGUUAAUCAUGUCAUUUAGAAUUGCAUUUCAUUUAGGAUAUUAUAUAAUAAGUUAGCUCAUUUGUUUGUGCAUAUUAGGAGAAUUAUUUUUCAAAUAUGGGAAAUGAGUGAUUAUAACUUUUUAGUUUAAAUGCCCCAUUAAUCCCUGUAUAAGAAAAUUAUGUCACGAGUUUUUGCCUCCCAUACCCUUCAUGUUGCAUUCCCUUUUUCUUUGAUCACUUAUAUAUGUAUAUAAUUUAAUUUAUUUUAUUUUAUUUUAAUUUCAUCAUUUACAUACUCGUGACACUUUCAAGGAAUCAUUUUGGCCUUCGCAAUUAAUGCGAUUGGUUCAAUUAAACCCUUGAAUGAACAUGUUGCCCCUUUCGAUAUUUUUUUUAUAUUUAGAUUUGCAUUCAUGUAGGAAACAUCCAAAUGUGAUAAAUUAAGGGUUAGAUUAGGAAAAUUUUGACUAAAUCUCGCAACUAGCUUAGACUAGGUUGAAAGGGUGCCUUAGGUUUGAGUCAAUUAAACCUUUGCCUUCCCUUUCUUCAACCGUGACUCCCGAACCUAUUUUCUCUUGUUUUCAAAGACCUGGAGUUGUCAAAAAGGGUUUUGAUUUAUUUUAUUUUUGUCAAAAAAUAUUUUUUGGGUGACUUGGUACACCAAAACUCCAUACCAAGUGGCGACUCCUAUUUUUUUCUUAAAAACCCUUUUAGACUAAAUUUUGGACCCAAAUUGUCGCAUUUUUUUAAGUCUCAUUUUAGGUCCCUUUUAACUUGUUUUAAAAUAAGAUCACAUCUUUUCUAAACCACCUUUAUAUUUAUUUUCCAUCGCGAAAAAUGGGGCGCGACACACGUAUUCAUUCAUUUUUUCUUUUGUGCCUCUAAACUGAAGCAGUAAAUGCAUAUGAACUCUUGCCCAUUUUAUACGUCUUCUUAGUUAUUCAUGCAUGUAAACUAUUUAAUUAGUUCUUUGUGCGUUCAAUGCUAGUUUACUCCUAAAAUUCGACUUAUCUCGUCUCUCGAUGUUAGUUUUAUACAGCGGUCUUAUAGGAUCAUUCCCCAGCUAAAAAGGGGGAGAAAAAAAGAAGAAGAAGAAAAGGAUAAUUGCCCUUCAAGAAAAGGAUCAUUGCAAUUCUCUCAUUCUUUUUUGAGAAAAUUACAAUUUUAAUCCCAAAUGUAAAAUGUUGGGGACAGAAGCGCUUUUAGUCCCUAAAAUUUAUAUGAAAGCAAAUGUAGUUCCGAAUAUUUUAGUUUCCAUGCACGUUCUGUCCUAAUGCUUUAUUUUUACCAAUUAUUACCGGGAGUAGGCCACACACCAGCAAUUAAUAUUUUUUGAAAAUUUUUAAAAAAUGAUGAAGUAUUACUCCUACUAGCCAUAACCUAUAAUAAAAAAAAAUGACUAAUUACUCAUAUGUUUAUCACGUGAGUAAUUAGUUUUUAACUUUUUUAUUUGUUAACCAAAUUUUUGUAUUUAUGGGUUAAAGAUUAAUUACUCAUAUGAUCAGUAUGCGAAUAAUUUACUAUAAAUAUGGCCAAUAAUAUUUUAAAAAAAAAAUAGUUGGUGAAAUGUAACAGCAUGUGACCAAAUUCUGGUAGCAAUUGGUGAAAAUUAGUCAAUAUAACUAAAUGUGCUUAGAGAUUGAAACAUUUGAUACCAAAAAAUACAAUUAUUUCUUCUUUUUUAAUAUGGGAAUUGGAAGUUGUUUUUUUCCUUUCCCACUUUUUGUGUGUAAGGCUGCAUACAUACACGUAUGUAUACCCAAAAUGUAUUGUGUACCUCCCAAUAGGUAGUAUUUUUCUCUGAGUUGGAUUUUCAGGGCAUCCUGACCUAAGGAAAUUAUUUCUAGAGUUAUUUGGCAACUUGUUGAAAAAAAAAAAAUGAAAGAGAAGUUCAAGAUUCUUGACUCUAAAUGCACCUGGCUAAUUCCUACAUACUGCAAUUAGGGCUACAAACGAAUCGAGCCGCUCGCGAGCGGCUCGAGUCAAGCUCGAGUCGAGCUCGAGCCGGCUCGAGUCAAACUCGAGCUCGAGCUCGAGCUCAGAAUAUUAAGCUCGUUAGCUCGCGAGCCGGCUCGCGAGCUUGGGUAUAUAUAUAUUUAUUUUUAUUUUUAUUUUUAUUUAAUAAUAAAAUUACGUAUAUAUAUAUUUUUUUUAUUUUUAUUUUCAUAGUAAAAUUACGUAUAUGUCCUUAAAAUUUUAUUAUUUAUUAAGAAAAAAAUAUUAUUUUAUUUAUUUAUUUUUUAAAUAAAAUAUUUAUUUUUUAUUUUUUUUCGAGCUCGAGCUCGAAAUUUGCCGGCUCGUCGAGCUCGAGCUUGGUAAAAUUUAGUCGAGGCUCGGCUCGAUUAGCUCAAAGCUCGACUCGGCUCGGCUCGUUUGCAGCCCUAACUGCAAUUACCUCGUUGAUUGCUUACUAUGGUUGCUUUGUUUUGUGCCAAUGUCUAUUUUUGCAUGAAAUUAAAAGAGUCAUUGAUGCUCUCAACCUGGUAAGGUACAUGACCCAACGGAAUGGAAAACUCUUAACUGUAUCUUUUUUAUUUAUAAAAUUUUGAAAAAAAUUGUUUAAAAUAUCACUUAUAUUUUGUUGAAUGAAUUUUUUUUUGUUCUUCAUUUUUAAAAUUGCUACCUCUCUUACAAACUCAAUUCGACAAAAUUUGGUCCAAUCGAAGUUUUCAAUUACAUUUGACCCUAAUUCAUCAUGUGGCCUGUGUAUGGUCAGUUUUUAGGGUAAAAAAGAUUAGGUCCCAUUUACAAUUAAAUAAAUGGUCUAAUUCAUAUUCAUUUUUGUUCAUAAAAAAAUAAGAUAUAACCUAAAUUAUAUUCAUUUUAUGCUCUAAAAAAGUGAGAUCUAACCCAAUAUAUAUUCAAAUUUCGCCACUAAAAAGAUGAGAUCUGACAUUUUAUUUUUAAAUAUAAAAAAAUUGAUAGCAUAUGGAUCAGUAGUGAUUUCAAAAUAAAAAAUGGUGAAAUUUUUAGAUUGGGAUCAAACUUCGUUAACUUACAUUUGUAAGAGACGUAAAGUUAAUAUUUUAAAAAUGAAGGAUUUAAAAAUUCAUUUGACAAAAUACGAAUGACGUGUUGAACAAAUUUUUCUAAAAUUUUCUAAUAAGUGUCUCAGUACAUUUAAAAUGGAUUCAACUUAUCACGUAAACACGCAUAAUCAUAAUUAUUACAUCUGCCACAUUUAGUUAUUUUUCUAAAUUAAUGACAUUUUUUUCAAAAAAAUAACAUCUAAAACCCCUAUUAACGAGUGUUUAUUGAAUACCUGUUAGUGCAUUGUUUAUUUACUUAAUCUUUAACUCGUGCUCAAAAUUGUGAACUAAUGUACACAAGGACUCAAGCCUGAAAAAAGAAUUGCAUAACAAGUUGAGAACAAUUAUUGUUAGCAGUAGACUCUCAGUCAUUAUUGUGUCUGACCGAAAAAACAAAGAACAUGAUUAUAAACACAAGUUUCUGUCAAAAAAUACAACCAUGAACAUAAAAUAAGAAAAAGAUUUUUUUCAUGGGAAAGUUUGUUAUGCCAUAAGCUUACUAAUUUAGUAUGUCUGUUUCUUUGUAAGAAUAUCACAAAUGUUUAUCGCUAAUCUCACCUGCUAAUCACUUUGUCCGGCAGCCGCAGCCGCAGCGGGACAGAGAUGAUGAUCGUGUGUUGUUAUUCUCACCUAGCUUUGCAUUUCUGCUAUGUCACGGC